AGCAGCCGCGGUAAUUCCAGCUCCAAUAGCGUAUAUUAAAGUUGUUGCAGUUAAAAAGCUCGUAGUUGAACUUCGGGGUUUACCCAUUGGUCAGGCUUAAUUGUCUGUACUGGUGAGAUAAAUCUCUACCUUCUGAGGAACUUUCAUGCCAUUUAUUUGGUGUGAUUGGAAAUCAGGACUAUUACUUUGAAAAAUUAGAGUGUUUAAAGCAGGCUAACGUCUGAAUAUAUUAGCAUGGAAUAAUGAAAUAGGACGGCUUGGUUCUAUUUCGUUGGUUUCUAGGAUCACCGUAAUGAUUAAUAGGGAUAGUUGGGGGCAUUAGUAUUCAAUUGUCAGAGGUGAAAUUCUUGGAUUUAUUGAAGACUAACUACUGCGAAAGCAUUUGCCAAGGAUGUUUUCAUUAAUCAAGAACGAAAGUUAGGGGAUCGAAGACGAUCAGAUACCGUCGUAGUCUUAACCAUAAACUAUGCCGACUAGGGGUCGGACGAAGUUAAUUUUAUAAUGACGCGUUCGGCACCUU
RNAcentral lists this ribosomal RNA (520 nucleotides) under uncultured Diversispora. RNAcentral's name for it is "SSU rRNA". It matches the Rfam family "Eukaryotic small subunit ribosomal RNA", at positions 569 to 1089 of the family's 1831-position model. Lineage: Eukaryota; Fungi; Glomeromycota; Glomeromycetes; Diversisporales; Diversisporaceae. The record is from RNAcentral.